Molecule: transfer RNA, 72 nt
Filed under: Xenopus tropicalis (tropical clawed frog)
Lineage: Eukaryota; Metazoa; Chordata; Amphibia; Anura; Pipidae
Description: Xenopus (Silurana) tropicalis (western clawed frog) tRNA
Rfam family: tRNA
About the family: Transfer RNA (tRNA) molecules are approximately 80 nucleotides in length. Their secondary structure includes four short double-helical elements and three loops (D, anti-codon, and T loops). Further hydrogen bonds mediate the characteristic L-shaped molecular structure. tRNAs have two regions of fundamental functional importance: the anti-codon, which is responsible for specific mRNA codon recognition, and the 3' end, to which the tRNAs corresponding amino acid is attached (by aminoacyl-tRNA synthetases). tRNAs cope with the degeneracy of the genetic code in two manners: having more than one tRNA (with a specific anti-codon) for a particular amino acid; and 'wobble' base-pairing, i.e. permitting non-standard base-pairing at the 3rd anti-codon position.
Source: Rfam by way of RNAcentral
GGGGGUAUAGCUCAUUGGCAGAGCAUUUGACUGCAGAUCAAAAAGUCCCCAGUUCAAAUCUAGGUGCCCUUU